GUUGAGGGUAUUUGGCUAUUGAAAAUGUAACAUUUUAAUUUAAUUAUGCUCAAAUGAACGAAAUGAACUAAAUGACUUGAAAAAGAUUCGUUCGUUUUGUUGAACGAGACUCAAAGAUUCAAGUCAGUAAAAUGAUCCGAUCUUCCCUUCAGUGGAGUGUAUGGGGACAAAUCCUCACUGCGCAUGCGCUAAACCUAUAUAACACGUGUUCGCGCACUUUUUCUUCCUUUGUUCCUUCUUACUCUCUCAGAGUGUGUUCCUGCUGCAUCACGAUGGUGUGGACUGUUGGAAUAAGAACCACGUGCUUCGCUUAUGCUAAUACUCCGGUCAUGAUUAUGCUGGUAUCAAAUGGGUGACCACAAAUUCACCAGACUUCAUGUCAAAAGACCAUGAAGGUCUAAUAUAGAUUAUGUUUGUACCACGUGGGUAAUCGCAAUUAUACACCGGACUCGUUGCUUGAUCUGAGAAGAACUUCAUGAACUAAUGUCCAUUGAUUGGCCACAGUGAUGGGGUUUGGGUACCAUUUUGAAGCCCUUUCCGUGCAGUGUUCAAGUGAAGCAAUUGGAUGUGUAAUGGCUCAUGCUGUACCAGCCAGUCCAGCAGAUUUCAGCAGAAGUUUUACUGAAGGCUUAUUCAAAACAUUUUUCUCCAACUACAAGCAGUUACAUUAACCAUGAUUGGAGACACAUUGCUUGUACUUGGUCAUUUGAUCUGUCAAAUUGUUUGUAUAAUCUUUGCUUAUAGCUGGCAUUUGUUACUUUUAAAACAAUAAAUUCAAACUAUGAACCAAUAACUGACUUGUAAUGGUUUUAUUUUUUAUAUGCCAGAAGGCAACAUGCCCAACAUCUUGCAGGACUGUAACUAAAUCGACUGUAACUCAUAUUUUUAAUUCUGAGUUAAAAUGCUAAUGUAUACCUAAACUACAAUCGACGUAAAAUACAAAGUGAUCUUUUACCUUUUUAAAGAAUGGUUCACCCAAAAAUGAAGAUUCUAAAGUGUAAUCGAGCUAGAAAUUGUGCCAAGGAGACUACUAAUGUACUGAAAAUUGAUGGUAGAAAAAAGGAGUAACAUUUUGAUCUGUUCUCACCCAAAAUUAAUUGGAUUUCAGAAGACAUUGAUUAAUCCACUAUCAAAUUCUUUUAUUCUGCCUUUUUGGUGACAAAUUUUUGAAGCUCCAAAUUCGCUUGCAUUGUAUGGCCCUACAGAGUGGAGAUACAUUUUGGAUGGCAUGAGGAUGAGUAUUUUUGGGUCAACUAUUUAACAAAUGAGUGAAAAAUGUCAUGUGUAUGCCACAAUGUUUUAAUUUUUCCAAUUGUACUCUGGUAACAACUGAACCUAACCACCCAAGGGCAAGGUGCCAGGACACCUUAAAUAUCGACAUAUCACAAUUGGCUAUUUCUGUAAAUUCUGAGGAAUGUUUGCUUUAGGUUAACCAAGCAAUGGAAUUCUUUAAAAGAGAGUUCAUAAAUAUACCUGGAUUUUUCAUAAAUUGACAAGUUUAACUCCGAUACAGAAGCUUUACAAUAAGGGAUUGAACAUCUGUUUCAGCUUGUCUUACUGGGUCUGGAUCGAGUAUAAAAUGGAAGCCAUUUCAAUUUCUCUGACAGAUCUUGGUGAGCAGCUUUCAAGACUACUUUACAAAAUGGUUCUUGUGUUCAAAUGUCAUUCACAGAAAGAACAAGCAAUAUUACAUGUAUAACAAUCCCUCAAAACAUCCAGCUCUGUAUUUUUUUACAAGAAAUCAGCCCAACACCCUGCUGCAAUAACUGUGUCCUCAGUGCCUGUAGUGAUGCUCAGUUGAACAACCAUGUGUUAAGAUCCAAAUAAC
Molecule: long non-coding RNA, 1828 nt
Organism: Myxocyprinus asiaticus (Chinese sucker)
Lineage: Eukaryota; Metazoa; Chordata; Actinopteri; Cypriniformes; Catostomidae
Exons: 6
Source: RefSeq, a predicted model, not a curated record